UGGGGAAUAUUGGACAAUGGGGGCAGCCCUGAUCCAGCGAUGCCGCGUGUGUGAAGAAGGCCUGCGGGUUGUAAAGCACUUUAGUUGGGGAGGAGAAGGUUCGUAUGAAUAAUGAGGACUGGAGACGUUACCCAAAGAAUAAGCACCGGCAAACUCUGUGCCAGCAGCCGCGGUAAUACAGAGGGUGCAAGCGUUAAUCGGAGUUACUGGGCGUAAAGGGCACGUAGGUGGUUAUAUAAGUCAGUUGUGAAAUCCCCGGGCUUAACCUGGGAACUGCAGCUGAUACUGUGUGACUAGAGUCGAAGAGAGGGAAGCGGAAUUUCCGGUGUAGCGGUGAAAUGCGUAGAUAUCGGAAGGAACAUCUGUGGCGAAGGCGGCUUCCUGGAUUCAGACUGACACUGAGGUGCGAAAGCGUGGGUAGCGAACAGGAUUAGAUACCCCAGUAGUCCCUGAGCGGGCUGGCAAGGCGCAU
This 472-nucleotide ribosomal RNA is filed under the name uncultured bacterium. Its description in RNAcentral is "bacterial SSU rRNA". It matches the Rfam family "Bacterial small subunit ribosomal RNA", at positions 355 to 825 of the family's 1533-position model. The record is from RNAcentral.